This 229-nucleotide ribosomal RNA is filed under the name uncultured bacterium. RNAcentral's name for it is "partial 16S ribosomal RNA". It matches the Rfam family "Bacterial small subunit ribosomal RNA", at positions 568 to 796 of the family's 1533-position model. The record is from RNAcentral.
UCCGUAGGUGGAUAAUUAAGUCAGAGGUGAAAUCCGGCAGCUCAACUGUAGAAUUGCCUUUGAUACUGGUUAUCUUGAGUCAUUAUGAAGUGGUUAGAAUGUGUAGUGUAGCGGUGAAAUGCAUAGAUAUUACACAGAAUACCGAUUGCGAAGGCAGAUCACUAAUAAUGUACUGACACUGAGGGACGAAAGCGUGGGGAGCGAACAGGAUUAGAUACCCUGGUAGUCC